RNAcentral lists this ribosomal RNA (664 nucleotides) under uncultured bacterium. Its description in RNAcentral is "bacterial SSU rRNA". It matches the Rfam family "Bacterial small subunit ribosomal RNA", at positions 644 to 1308 of the family's 1533-position model. The record is from RNAcentral.
GAGUNCAGAAGGGGAGAGUGGAAUUCCAUGUGUAGCGGUGAAAUGCGUAGAUAUAUGGAGGANCACCGGUGGCGAAAGCGGCUCUCUGGUCUGUCACUGACGCUGAGGCUCGAAAGCGUGGGUAGCGAACAGGAUUAGAUACCCUGGUAGUCCACGCCGUAAACGCUGAGUGCUAGGUGUUAGGUCCUUUCCGGGACUUAGUGCCGACGCUAACGCAUUAAGCACUCCGCCUGGGGAGUACGACCGCAAGGUUGAAACUCAAAGGAAUUGACGGGGGCCCGCACAAGCGGUGGAGCAUGUGGUUUAAUUCGAAGCAACGCGAAGAACCUUACCAGGUCUUGACAUCCCGAUGCCCGCUCUAGAGAUAGAGUUUUUCUUCGGAACAUCGGAGACAGGUGGUGCAUGGUUGUCGUCAGCUCGUGUCGUGAGAUGUUGGGUUAAGUCCCGCAACGAGCGCAACCCUUAUUGUUAGUUGCCAUCAUUAAGUUGGGCACUCUAGCGAGACUGCCGGUAAUAAACCGGAGGAAGGUGGGGAUGACGUCAAAUCAUCAUGCCCCUUAUGACCUGGGCUACACACGUGCUACAAUGGUUGGUACAACGAGUCGCAAGCCGGUGACGGCAAGCUAAUCUCUGAAAGCCAAUCUCAGUUCGGAUUGUAGGCUGC